RNAcentral lists this ribosomal RNA (297 nucleotides) under uncultured bacterium. RNAcentral describes it as "partial 16S ribosomal RNA". It matches the Rfam family "Bacterial small subunit ribosomal RNA", at positions 775 to 1067 of the family's 1533-position model. The record is from RNAcentral.
GGAUUAGAUACCCUGGUAGUCCACACCGUAAACGAUGAGAACUAGCUGUUGGGGCUCGUAGAGUUUCAGUGGCGCAGUUAACGCAUUAAGUUCUCCGCCUGGGGAGUACGGUCGCAAGAUUAAAACUCAAAGGAAUUGACGGGGGCCUGCACAAGCGGUGGAGCAUGUGGUUUAAUUCGAAGCAACGCGCAGAACCUUACCAGCCCUUGACAUCCCGGUCGCGGACUCCAGAGAUGGUCUCCUUCAGUUCGGCUGGGUCCCGCACAGGUGCUGCAUGGCUGUCGUCAGCUCGUGCCG